CCGACCUGUAGGCCACCCUGCGGGUGCCUGUGUCUCCAGACCACGUCCUCCUCUCGCCGAGUCUGCACAGUUGGUGAAGCGAAGGUCCGGCAGGGCACCGAAAAGGACGUUUACUCCCAGGGUUGAAACGCAAGGCAAGACCACAGCCCAGACCCCGAAAGGCAGGAACUUGCUCCCGUUUAAGAACUUCCAACGCAAGAAGAUUCCAGAAGCGUUAUUGAUCGCGUCAUUGCACAGCCCUCUAUUCCGUAUCUUUAGGUGCCUCGGAUGGGGCACUUGAGCCCAGAACGUAGGUCUCAAGAAGAAAAGAUAUCUCUUUCUGCUUUCCCAAAUUGUGAAGGAUUAUUGAAUAUGAGCCCUUUUAUGCUGCAAUGGAUCCAUAUGAACCUACGAAAUGAAAAAUGUUUUUGGCCAGGUGUCGUUAAAUGUAUAGUCUGCAGUGUCCUCAAGUUGAGAAACAUGACUGGCAGUCAUUCCUCCCACUCAGAGGGAUCUCCAAAUCUGUCUCACUUCUCACUGGGUAAGUGGUUUUGUUGGAGCCCAAGGCUUUCAGAAGUACUCUCAGGAAUGGACUACAAGCUUAGGAAGAGUCAUGCUGUCUUCCUUAAGUCUAACUAUUCUACAACUAGAUAUUGUUACAGUGCCAUGGUGUUGGAUCAAUACACACACACACACACACACACACACACACACACACAAUCUCCAAGUUCUUAAAGUCAAAUGUACAGUAGAUAUAAUCUUUGCCAUUUCACAGAUGAUAAAACUGAGACCCACAGGUCAAGUAACCUGCUGCCAGAAACCUAUACCCCGUGGAGGUGUGAUCCAGACCAAGCCAGCCCAACCCCACUAUGCUUUGU
Long non-coding RNA from Felis catus (domestic cat), 857 nucleotides. RefSeq lists it as uncharacterized. The transcript is spliced from 4 exons. The record is from RefSeq and is a predicted model, not a curated record. Lineage: Eukaryota; Metazoa; Chordata; Mammalia; Carnivora; Felidae.